AUAUGUGUAUUUUUUUACCUUUCCACUUGAAUUAUAUUUUUGAAUUUUAGCUUAUAAAUGAUGUUUUUUCAGCUAGAUUUUUUUUCUUAUCAUAUUUUUAGGUAAGUACACAUGACAUAGAGAGUUCAUUUGUUGUUUCAUGUUGAUAGCUUAAAUUUAACAUUAUGAUCAUUAAGGCUAUUUUGAGUUUGUCAUGAAUUUUUAUGCACAUUAAGGCAAAUCUCAAUUCUGCAACACUAAACAUUUUUAAGAUUUAGCUAUGCUAAUUUUAUCACUUAUGAGUUAGAAGUAAUUUAUUUGUGUUAUUUUUUUACCUUCAACAAACUCUUCCUUUCAUGAUUGUACUUGUGAUUAAAAAUUGGACAAUCACUCAGCCUGUCUAGAACAAAAUUAUGAACUUGGAAUUCUGUCUCCACAUUCCAAAACUAUUAUGGAUUGCUAUGUUUGGAAUAACCAAACUCUUGGAUAUUAUAAUUCUAUGUUUUAGAAGAAUUGGAACUUGAGAAUCUUAUUGACAACUUGUUGGUGAUCAAUUCUCGAGAGAAAAGAAUUCUGAGUCUAUGAUAGUUAUAAUUUUCAAGAAUUAACUUCUCAGAUCUUAUGUUUGAACUGAUGGGAAAUGAUAUUUUAUUUCUUAAUGUACUUUACUAACUUUUUCCUAUACUAUGAGUACACAGGCUUCUUUAUUAAAUAUGGGUAAAAAACAAUGAAGAAAGAGAGUGAGUGGAUUAGAUAUUAAAAUUCUAGUUCCCAAUUUUUUAUUACUCCAAACAAAAAAUUCUGUUGGUACUAAGGAAUUGGACUCUGGGUUACAUGAUAUGUUUCUGUGACUGUAAUUUUUUUUUUUUAUUUUCUUUUGUUUUGAAAUUGCUAAUGUGCAAAUACUUUGUGUUUGUAGCAAGGAACCUACGGAAACCCUAGACUUGUACCGGAAUCAUCUUGGAUUUCGAUGGGUUCCCACUGAUUAUAUGCAUACGAUGAAAUGUACCUAAAAUGGGAUAUUUACAGAAGGAGAAUUGAUACAUUAUGGGAAGGAUAAGAAGAAAGAAAAAAGGUCUUGAGGCAUGACGAUUUGUAUUUUUUUGUCGUUUAGAUGGCUUGUUAGGUUUGUUGUUUAUAUUAUGACGGUUGAACUUUGAUAUGUUUGGAUAUUAUAAUUUAUUGUUUCGAUGUUGUUUUAUUAUGUAUGAAUAUGAAAUAUUUAAUUUUAAUUUGAUGUGUUGGAUA
This is a long non-coding RNA of Zingiber officinale, 1227 nucleotides long. RefSeq lists it as uncharacterized. The transcript has 2 exons. NCBI's taxonomy places the organism in Eukaryota, Viridiplantae, Streptophyta, Magnoliopsida, Zingiberales, Zingiberaceae. The record is from RefSeq and is a predicted model, not a curated record.